GACGAACGCUGGCGGCGCGCCUAACACAUGCAAGUCGAACGGAGCUGUGAGAAGCUUGCUUUUCUUAGCUUAGUGGCGAACGGGUGAGUAACGCGUGAGUAACCUGCCCUGGAGUGGGGGACAACAGUUGGAAACGACUGCUAAUACCGCAUAAGCCCACGAUCCGGCAUCGGAAUGAGGGAAAAGGGUUUAUUCGCUUCAGUAUGGACUCGCGUCCACUUAGCUAGUUGGUGGGGUAACGGCCCACCAAGGCGACGAUUGGUACCCGGACUGUGAGGUUGGACGGCGACACUUGGAGUGAGACACGGUCGGGACUCCUACGGGAUGCAGCAGUGGGUGAUAGUGCACAAUGGGGUAAACCCUGAUGCAGCGCGGACGGGUGGAGUAAGAAGUUAUGCGGAUUGUAAUCUCUUGUUGUUAGUGCCGAUAUUGACGGUACCUAACAAGAAAGCACCGGCUAACUACGUG
This 468-nucleotide ribosomal RNA is filed under the name uncultured bacterium. RNAcentral's name for it is "partial 16S ribosomal RNA". It matches the Rfam family "Bacterial small subunit ribosomal RNA", at positions 28 to 507 of the family's 1533-position model. The record is from RNAcentral.